This 1103-nucleotide long non-coding RNA is filed under the name Struthio camelus australis. RNAcentral's name for it is "lncRNA (ENSSCUG00000001938.1)". Lineage: Eukaryota; Metazoa; Chordata; Aves; Struthioniformes; Struthionidae. The record is from RNAcentral.
UGCUCAACCAGGCUCUUCCUGAACAGUAGUGAUGGAAUUUGUCAUCAUUUUUUCUAUUCUAAAAGUGUAAAAUUUUAUAUUUUUUUCUGAUUUCUAUGUUUUAUAACUCAAUUACCUAGUGCCAUCUACUUUUUGUCCAUAAUGCUGCACUGAAGUUACUUUUUAUCAACUAAAUUUUGUCACCUGUCACCUGACAGGUAGAACAAAGACAUAACUCUAACAUUGGCUCCUGAGCAGCACAAUUAAUCUCAUCUGAUCUCCAACGGACUGAUGGUCUGUACUGAUGCACAGUGUGAAGCUAUGCUGCCAUAGUAUAUUUGAUUUGCUCACACAUCCUUAAAACUUCCCUUAUUCCCACCUCUGUCUUCCCUGACGGAAAGGUUAGAGGCAAGCUCAGUGCGGUUCCACUGCAUACAUCUUGGUUGGUGUAACAGCUGAGAAAAACAGGUUAAACUGUGACCCCUUAAAGGCAGCAGAUAACUGGGCAUAUGUGUGUAUUGGGUGGGGGGGUGAAUGUCUGAAAUUGAACCUCUGAACCCUCAAGCACAAGCCUGCUACUUGCUAGCUGCAGCUGGCAUGGGCUGGUUGUAAAUUCUGAAAAACACCUCCUGAGUCCUCCAACUAAUAAGGAGAUAGAACCACUGAUUAGGAGGUCGUUCAUGCACUGUGCACAUGAGACUAUUUAGAUUUAGAAAACCAGGGGCUUGGGGACCUGGAAAUAACAGCUGGUGCCAAAAAGAAGAGUUCAUGAAAAGUGGUCUCAGAAAGAAGAAGGAGGCUGGGAAAGAAGAUGGUAGAGAUCCUGGCUGGAAGAAAGAUCCUGGAAGUCGGAGAAGAUAGUGGAGAUCAGGGAGCUGCCUGGACACAAAUGCUGAUGGAUGUCCACAGACCCUGGUCAGUAAUGCCCAAGGCCAGCAGCAGUGCAGCAAGAGCUGACCCAGCUUGUUGCCUGACUGUCCCAGGCCCACAGAGAGCUUGUCUGUGGGGAAGGGAAGUCCAGACACUGCAGAAUUCAUUUCCUGAUCUGUAUUGUCCAAGGAAAUUAUUUCAUUCUUCAUCUGUCACUAAACUAAAAGCUCCAUGUACUGUUGAAAACAUCUGCU